Molecule: ribosomal RNA, 253 nt
Filed under: uncultured bacterium
Lineage: Bacteria
Description: partial 16S ribosomal RNA
Rfam family: Bacterial small subunit ribosomal RNA
Source: RNAcentral
UACGGGGGGGGCAAGCGUUGUUCGGAAUUACUGGGCGUAAAGGGCGCGUAGGCGGCCUUCUAAGUCGAACGUGAAAUCCCCGGGCUCAACCCGGGAACUGCGUCCGAGACUGGAAGGCUCGAAUCCGGGAGAGGGAUGUGGAAUUCCAGGUGUAGCGGUGAAAUGCGUAGAUAUCUGGAGGAACAUCGGUGGCGAAGGCGGCAUCCUGGACCGGUAUUGACGCUGAGGCGCGAAAGCCAGGGGAGCAAACAGG